RNAcentral lists this ribosomal RNA (99 nucleotides) under Blastodinium spinulosum. RNAcentral's name for it is "partial 18S ribosomal RNA". It matches the Rfam family "Eukaryotic small subunit ribosomal RNA", at positions 1733 to 1831 of the family's 1831-position model. The record is from RNAcentral. Lineage: Eukaryota; Dinophyceae; Blastodiniales.
UUCUGGAUUCAGCAACGGAAAGUUUAGUGAACCUUAUCACUUAGAGGAAGGAGAAGUCGUAACAAGGUUUCCGUAGGUGAACCUGCGGAAGGAUCAUUC